GCCAACGGCCAUACCAUGUUGAAUACACCGGUUCUCGUCCGAUCACCGAAGUUAAGCAACAUCGGGCCUGGUUAGUACUUGGAUGGGUGACCGCCUGGGAACACCGGGUGCUGUUGGCU
RNAcentral lists this ribosomal RNA (119 nucleotides) under Schistocerca americana (American grasshopper). RNAcentral also lists the same sequence under 1 other name. Lineage: Eukaryota; Metazoa; Arthropoda; Insecta; Orthoptera; Acrididae. The record is from RNAcentral.